Molecule: ribosomal RNA, 255 nt
Filed under: uncultured bacterium
Lineage: Bacteria
Description: partial 16S ribosomal RNA
Rfam family: Bacterial small subunit ribosomal RNA
Source: RNAcentral
UACGUAGGGGGCAAGCGUUGUCCGGAUUUAUUGGGCGUAAAGAGCGUGUAGGCGGCCUGAAAGGUCAGCUGUGAAAACUCGAGGCUCAACCUCGAGACGUCGGUUGAAACCAUCUGGCUAGAGUCCGGAAGAGGAGUGUGGAAUUCCCGGUGUAGCGGUGAAAUGCGCAGAUAUCGGGAAGAACACCCGUGGCGAAGGCGGCACUCUGGGACGGUACUGACGCUGAGACGCGAAAGCGUGGGGAGCCGUAACAGG